Molecule: ribosomal RNA, 253 nt
Filed under: uncultured bacterium
Lineage: Bacteria
Description: partial 16S ribosomal RNA
Rfam family: Bacterial small subunit ribosomal RNA
Source: RNAcentral
GACGGAGGGUGCAAGCGUUGUUCGGAAUUACUGGGCGUAAAGCGUACGUAGGCGGUGGAUUAAGUCGAAUGUUAAAGCCUGGGGCUCAACCCCAGAGAUGCAUUCGAUACUGGUUCACUAGAGGGUGAUAGAGGAAAGCGGAAUUCCGAGUGUAGCGGUGAAAUGCGUAGAUAUUCGGAGGAACAUCAGUAGCGAAGGCGGCUUUCUGGGUCACACCUGACGCUGAGGUACGAAAGCGUGGGGAGCAAACGGG